GAUGAACGCUGACAGAAUGCUUAACACAUGCAAGUCUUUGGCGAAGCUGUGCUCGCACAGCCUAGCCAAGGCGGACGGGUGAGUAACGCGUAAGGAACUUGCCCUGCAGUCAGGGAUAACAGACGGAAACGACUGAUAAGACCUGGUAAAGUCAGGCGGACUCAUGUCCAGCCUGAUGAAAAGAGAUGCUGCAGGAGAGCCUUGCGUCCUAUUAGCUUGUUGGUGGGGUAACGGCCCACCAAGGCGAUGAUAGGUAGCCGGCCUGAGAGGGUGGACGGCCACAAGGGGACUGAGAUACGGCCCUUACUCCUACGGGAGGCAGCAGUGGGGAAUAUUGGACAAUGGGGGCAACCCUGAUCCGGCAAUUCUGCGUGCACGAUGAAGGUUUUCGGAUUGUAAAGUGCUUUCAGCAGGGAAGAAAAAAAUGACGGUACCUGCAGAAGAAGCGACGGCUAAAUACGUG
This 463-nucleotide ribosomal RNA is filed under the name uncultured bacterium. RNAcentral describes it as "partial 16S ribosomal RNA". It matches the Rfam family "Bacterial small subunit ribosomal RNA", at positions 28 to 507 of the family's 1533-position model. The record is from RNAcentral.